This 251-nucleotide ribosomal RNA is filed under the name uncultured prokaryote. RNAcentral describes it as "partial 16S ribosomal RNA". It matches the Rfam family "Bacterial small subunit ribosomal RNA", at positions 525 to 775 of the family's 1533-position model. The record is from RNAcentral.
ACGUAGGGUGCGAGCGUUAAUCGGAAUCACUGGGCGUAAAGGGUGCGUAGGCGGACUUGUAAGACAGAUGUGAAAUCCACGGGCUUAACCUUGGAACUGCGUUUGUGACUGCGAGACUUGAGUGCAGCAGAGGGGGAUGGAAUUCCACGUGUAGCAGUGAAAUGCGUAGAGAUGUGGAGGAACACCGAUGGCGAAGGCAGCCCCCUGGGUCGACACUGACGCUCAUGCACGAAAGCGUGGGGAGCAAACAG